This 1237-nucleotide long non-coding RNA is filed under the name Marmota monax (woodchuck). The record is from RNAcentral. Lineage: Eukaryota; Metazoa; Chordata; Mammalia; Rodentia; Sciuridae.
UGUAGAUUCUUUUCUUUUUAAAAAGCCCGUUCUGAGGCACUCCUCUACAUUAGUAGUGGACUGUUUUAUUUUGUUGACCAAUGAGCAAUUACACUGCAAGCACUCUCAGCUGAGAAGAGCUCACACUACACACAAUGAGUUCCAGUGUGUUUUACCCCGUGUCUCUUUCUGCCAAUCACUUUGUGCUCCGGAAACCAGUUUGGGCUUAUGAUGGCUGAGAAAGUUUUUGCAGGUAAAAUUCUGGACCUGCUUCAAUGACACAGGAAGAGAAUCAGGCUGAGUAUUAAAAUACAAAUUUGGCAGUGAUUCUAGGUAACUAUGUGGAAUGGAUGAGAAAACAGAGAAAAGAGAUCAAUAGGAAAUAUUAGAUGGAUGGUCUGAUUUUGACAUGACUAAGAGGACCAUAAAUUUCACAACACAAGAACCCCAUCCAACAACUGGAGGGACAGACAAUAGUUGGAAACAACCAUGCCCAGAAAUUUACCCUGUAUUCAAUUGUUUUAGAGAAUGGAAAAGGCCUUUUUAAGGUGUGGUACUAAGCCUGCGUCUCUUAAGGAUUAGGCCACAUGAACCACUUAAGGAAUGAUACAAAUGACACUCCCUGAUCCAGGAAUGCAUCCUUCACACAGAGGAAUGCUUAUGAGUGAUGUCAGCAAGAUGACAGAAUACAUCACCCACAGGAAGAUACUGCAUUCACCCACAGAGGAAAGUCUUUGUAAGAGCUUCAAGGUUUGGGUAGAUGGCUCUUGAGAAUCAUUUGGAGACUACAGACCCUCAAACAGGUAGCAGACUGUUGAUCAUGCUCCUGAGCACCAUCCCAGAAAUGAUCCUGUUCCCAAGGGGUGCAACUAUAGCCCAUUUGGCCUGGAGUCUACAACCAAAACCAUCUGCUGUGGGGGUCUAGGAAGAAUCCAGCACAUGGGUGCCUCAGUAGAGAGGCUUGCCUGCCAGGGCUGGUGCUGGCAGGGGACCUGAACAUCACCCAGUGCUCAACUCCAGUUUCCCAUUGCUCAGCUUCUAGCUUAGUGCUGCUCACACAAGGACCCAGAAGGAGUCUUGCCCAUAUCUCACAGCCUGACAGUCAGGAACCUAUAAGAGCCUCCAAGACAGGCUUGCUGGCCUCUGCCCCACAGCAGGUCUGGAGGAGGCCUGGUCUCAGCUCUGGCCGCUUUUGCUACAGUUGAGGAAUGAUCUUCCCUGUGCAGGGAACAGCAGGGAGACAAGUGCUCACUUGAGC